GACGAACGCUGGCGGCGUGCUUAACACAUGCAAGUCGAACGGAAAGGCCCUGCUUUUGUGGGGUGCUCGAGUGGCGAACGGGUGAGUAACACGUGAGUAACCUGCCCUUGACUUUGGGAUAACUUCAGGAAACUGGGGCUAAUACCGGAUAGGAGCUCCUGCUGCAUGGUGGGGGUUGGAAAGUUUCGGCGGUUGGGGAUGGACUCGCGGCUUAUCAGCUUGUUGGGGGGGUAGGGGCUUACCAAGGCUUUGACGGGUAGCCGGCCUGAGAGGGUGACCGGCCACAUUGGGACUGAGAUACGGCCCAGACUCCUACGGGAGGCAGCAGUGGGGAAUAUUGCACAAUGGGCGGAAGCCUGAUGCAGCAACGCCGCGUGCGGGAUGACGGCCUUCGGGUUGUAAACCGCUUUCGCCUGUGACGAAGCGUGAGUGACGGUAAUGGGUAAAGAAGCACCGGCUAACUACGUG
This 468-nucleotide ribosomal RNA is filed under the name uncultured bacterium. RNAcentral's name for it is "partial 16S ribosomal RNA". It matches the Rfam family "Bacterial small subunit ribosomal RNA", at positions 28 to 507 of the family's 1533-position model. The record is from RNAcentral.